AAUAACAAUAAAAUAAUAAAUGUGAUGUCACGAAAGAUUGUGAGCUAAACAUAUAUAGUGUAUUACAUACGUCGCAUAGUAUGCAUAAAAUAUAUGUUUAGAAGUGACAGGCUUUUCAAACGGUCUUAUAACUUGUUUCAUAUGAAAAGUAUUAAGUACAAAAACAGAUUUAAAAAGUUAAGCUUUUAAAUAAAGAUUAAAAAUAUGAUUUCUCUUGUAGUGUAGUAUAAUAGCUACUUGCAUAAUAUCUUAACAUUAAGCAUAAUAAUUUAUAUUGCAUAAUAUGACGAUAAAAAUUUCGUUACUAUUUGAUAAUGUUAUUAUUAGUAGUAUUAAUAUAUAUACUAAAGGAACUCGGCAAAUGACCACUCAACUGUUUAUCAAAAACAUAGCUAUAUGAGUUAAUAUAUAGUUAUUUCUGCUCAAUGAAGUUUAAAUAGCCGCAGUACUCUGACUGUGCAAAGGUAGCAUAAUCAGUUGGCUUUUAAUUGGAGUCUGGCAUGAAAGAAAAUAUGGGUAGUAACUGUCUUAGUGUAUUUAAUUGAAUUUACUAAACAAGUGCAAAUACUUGUGGUUUAACAAUAGACGAGAAGACCCUAGAAACUUGAGUUAGUUUUUGUUGGGGCGACAGGAUUACAUUUAACUAAUCUUAUGCACAUGACGCAAUGUUGAAAGUAUAAGUUACUCUAGGGAUAACAGCAUAAUUUAAUUAGUUUGUGACCUCGAUGUUGGACUAGGUACUAUACCCUUAAGGCAAGGGUGUAUCGUGCUCUGUUCGAGCAGUAUUACCUACAU
Molecule: ribosomal RNA, 795 nt
Filed under: Helix secernenda
Lineage: Eukaryota; Metazoa; Mollusca; Gastropoda; Stylommatophora; Helicidae
Description: partial large subunit ribosomal RNA
Source: RNAcentral